CAGUAAACUACAGUCCAGGAUCACAUAGUUCAGAGAACUACAGUCCACUGUUACACCAUCACUUCAUGAUUGAUUCAUAUUUGUAUAUUUUCAUCUCUAGAAGCAUCUUUGAGAAGUGAAAGAUGUGCUACAGUGUGUAGAACUGAGCAAACAUUCAGCAGCAGGUUUUUGUACGAGGAUUUUUCACUGUGGAAGGAAACUGGUUCUAUACCUUUGGUUCUGGAACUAAACUGUAUGUAACAGAUGAGCAGGUAGUGAAGCCCAUGGUGAGCGUCUACCCAGCAGCAUCCACAGUCCACCUGGAGGGGAAGAGCUCCCUGCUGUGUCUGGCCUCAGCCAUGUUUCCUCCUCUGGUCCGCUUCUCCUGGAAAAAACAGAAGGAGGACGAGCGGCUGGAGGAUGUGGACCCUGCUGAGGGAGAGCAGCUGGAGAUCAGAGAGCCGGGACGCAGCGCCUCCAUCUGGCUGAUCCAUCAGCAACAGGACGGCACAUAUAAAUACAGCUGCUACGUCCAGCACGAGGGAGGAACAGUGGAGGCCCAGACACAACAAGCCUCCUGUCCUCCAGAGAGAGAACCAGCAGACCUGCCAGCUCUGCAGCAAGCUCACUUGUCCUUCCAGUCUCAGUCUCAGGUGAAGCUGCUCUGUCUGCUGUCCACAGUGCUGAUAGUGAAGAGUCUGGUGUUCUGCUGUGGAAUCUCUCUGAUGAUGAUCCUCACAAACAAGGGACCGUCCACCAACUGCACACAUGCUGACUGACUGUUUGCUGCUGGACUUUUCUCAGCGUCACACCUCAUCAAUACAUCUCAUUGAUUUGAUCAGUGAUCAGAAACAUCAGCUGUGACGUGUUGUGCUUCGUUAUAAAUUGCACCUCUUCAUGCUCAUGUUAUUUGUCCUCCUACAAGUGUUUUUACAUAUAUUCAUAUAUAUUCGUCAUGCCCCGAUGUAUGAUGACAAUGAAGCUAUUCUAUUCUAUUCUAUUCUAUUCUAUUCUGUUCUGUUCUGUUCUGUUCUGUUCUGUUCUGUUCUGUUCUGUUCUGUUCUGUUCUGUUCUGUUCUGUUCUGUUCUGUUCUGUUCUAUUCUAUUCUAUUCUAUUCUAUUCUAUUCUAUUCUAUUCUAUUCUAUUCUAUUCUAUUCUAUUCAGUUAUAAAGUGCAGUUUCUACAGGGAAAUUUUGUCAGUCUGAUCUUGUUCUGUGUCUGAGAUCCAAAGAAAUGUACAAAGUGGCACAAAUAUAAAUACAUACAUCAACAUGUCAACAAAAGAAAGCAGAUCUUUAAGCUUGCAGAUUAAUUCUUAUUUUGCAAUAAACUCUACUUUGACAAAAAAUAGAAGCUACAGCUGCAAUUAAAAUGAUCACACAGCAGCAGUUAAAUCCACCACAGCUCAAGUCGGAAUGCUGGCAAAACGAUGGACAUGCAGAUAUUUUUUGAAAUCGCUAAAAUGCCACAGAAUUGUUCCAGUUAAAUCAAUUUUAAUUGUGAUGUUAUUAAUGAGAAGAUGGAAAACUUUACAUAAACCUUAAUUAAGGAUUUUACAUACCUUAUUGUAAAAUGAUUCCACACUGAAAAUUUCUAUAUAUUAGACCGAAAAAUAUUAAUCAUUCAUUGUUUGUCACUGUUUAUGUGUGUAUUACUGUGUUAUUCAUUCAUCUGUGUUUAUGAUUUCAGUCGAUAUUAGUAUUAAAUGUUAUUCUGUUGUUUAAAAGCCUCUUGAAUCUAUGUUUGCAGUAUUUUUUUAUUAUUAAUUGUUACAAUGAAGAUUUUAUACAAAAAAGUCUAUCAUGUCUUGUUUUAUUUAUUCCAUCAAAAUUAAUUGGCAGCUCUGAGUUCAGAAUUUCACCUGUUUCUCUCACAGAUAAAGAACACAGAUGCUUCCUGGAAUGAUUCUUUUAGGCGAGUGGGUGUAACUGUCUUUGUGUUAUUAAUGUGAAAAACCACAGAUAACGGUGCCGCAGAGCAGAAACCCGUACAGGAAAGACAUUUGAUUGGCUGUCAACAUCUGAAAAUUCUGAGAACAGAUUCAUAUCUGCUGUAAACACUCAUCAGCUGCCCUCCUUCUACAUGGUUUGUGUUUUCUCGUUUUCUGUCAGCCUUGUUCCCACUCAGACCUCCACCUACAGAGUUGAGCUAAACUGAAUCACCACCUGAAGUUCAUGUCCUGCUUACAUUUUGGAGGAUUUACAAGUUGUUAUUAAAAAAAAAUAGAUUCCACUCUGUUGAUUGUUCAUGUGUGUAAACAACAGUGUCGUCAGCGGAGAGUUUCACAUUCACACUGACACAAUUCUGAAAGAUGAUUAAUACACAAAAUCAAUGAUGGGGGGACAUAGAGCAGAACCUGGUGGUUCAUCCACACCUGAUUGUCAUAUUAAAAACUUCUGUAUUCAUGUAACUUUAGAUGGCUGAGCUCUCAUUCUUGUUUAGCUGUGUGUGAAACAAGGACAAGAUUGCUAUCUAUUGGUGUCAGUAACUUCAAACCACAGUCAGAUUUGUUUCAUGUAGACACUCAACAUACAUACUUAGACACCCAAAGUUAUUUUGUAGUUUAUUGAAAAUACUGCACUCAGUAAACAUGAAGAAAUUGCAACACUGUGAUUAUGAAAAGAAAAACAAGAAAAAACAUGCUAAAAUGUAUAUAAGGCAGCAAUAUUUUGUAUUAUGUGGACGCAACAAUUAAAAGGUUUGGAAUAACUUAA
This is a non-coding RNA of Amphiprion ocellaris (clown anemonefish), 2694 nucleotides long. NCBI's taxonomy places the organism in Eukaryota, Metazoa, Chordata, Actinopteri, Pomacentridae. The record is from the annotation of a RefSeq genome assembly.